This 233-nucleotide small RNA is filed under the name Drosophila mojavensis. RNAcentral describes it as "GI23696". Lineage: Eukaryota; Metazoa; Arthropoda; Insecta; Diptera; Drosophilidae. The record is from RNAcentral.
GUCAAAAACGGUAUAAAAUGGAAGGACCAAACCCGAUGAUAUCUUCGUUUUAAAUCAAUCAACAUGAAACUGAUUCUGCUCACUGCUGUGCUAGCUAUCUGGGCAUCGGGAUGCAAUGCUGCUCUUAAUACUAUUCCUGAAGAGAAGUGGGAAGAGCUACCACCACUACCAGUAGAUUAAAAACUAAAAUUGGUUUAGAAAUAUUCAAAUAUACAAUCAUAAUGCAGAAAUAA